Molecule: ribosomal RNA, 743 nt
Filed under: uncultured eukaryote
Lineage: Eukaryota
Description: bacterial SSU rRNA
Rfam family: Eukaryotic small subunit ribosomal RNA
Source: RNAcentral
CGGGUGCACUGAUCCGGCCGGGCCUUUCCCUCUGUGGAACCCCAUGGCCUUCACUGGCUGUGCGGGGGAAACAGGACUUUUACUGUGAAAAAAUUAGAGUGCUCCAGGCAGGCCUAUGCUCGAAUACAUUAGCAUGGAAUAAUAGAAUAGGACGCGUGGUUCUAUUUUGUUGGUUUCUAGGACCGCCGUAAUGAUUAAUAGGGACAGUCCGGGGGCAUCAGUAUUCAAUUGUCAGGAGGUGGAAAUUCUUGGAUCCUAUUGAAAACUAAACUACUGGCGAAAGCAUUUGCCCAGGGAUGGUUUUCAUUGGAUAAGGGAACGAAAGUUAAGGGGAUCGAAAAACAAUCCAAAUCCCGUCCUAAUCCUAACUAAUAAACAAGGCCACUAAGGGAUGGAACGAAGUUUAUUUCUUGAGCGCCUUCGGGACCCUUUUCAAAAAUCAAAGUGCUUGGGCUCCAGGGGGAGUAUGGUCGCAAGGCUGAAACUAAAGAAAUUGACGGAAGGGCACCACCAGGGGUGGAACUGCGGCUUAAUUUGACUCAACACGGGGAAACUCACCAGGUUAACUUCGACGUAGAUGGUUACGCACGUCUGGGCCUGGAAAAGUAAGGGGGGCUGCUGAUGUGGCCGUCUUGCUAGUGCCGACUUUACUCACGUUGGGGAAGCGUAUUGCCCCUCACUCAGGGCGUGGGAGCAGCCGUCUCGACGACGGCUGCGUGUCGGUGCGACACCAGCUGGUACAG